CACGUAGGGGGCAAGCGUUGUCCGGAAUCAUUGGGCGUAAAGAGCUCGUAGGCGGCUCAGUAAGUCGGGUGUGAAACCUCCAGGCUCAACCUGGAGACGCCACCCGAUACUGCUGUGGCUAGAGUCCAGUAGGGGAGUGUGGAAUUCCCGGUGUAGCGGUGAAAUGCGCAGAUAUCGGGAGGAACAUCAGUGGCGAAGGCGGCUGCCUGGCCCAAUACUGACACUCAGGUGCGACAGCGUGGGGAGCAAACAGG
Molecule: ribosomal RNA, 254 nt
Filed under: uncultured bacterium
Lineage: Bacteria
Description: partial 16S ribosomal RNA
Rfam family: Bacterial small subunit ribosomal RNA
Source: RNAcentral